Molecule: small nuclear RNA, 119 nt
Organism: Labeo rohita (rohu)
Lineage: Eukaryota; Metazoa; Chordata; Actinopteri; Cypriniformes; Cyprinidae
Product: U5 spliceosomal RNA
Exons: 1
Source: RefSeq, a predicted model, not a curated record
CAGCUCGAGUUUUUCUUCAUCAGUGCAUAAAUCUUAAAUCUCCUUUUACUAAAGAUUUCCGUGGAGGAGAACCUUUGUGAGUGACCUGUAUUUUUGGGGGCUCUGCUCACAGCAGAGUU